CUGAAACCGUGUACGUACAAGCAGUGGGAGCACGCUUAGGCGUGUGACUGCGUACCUUUUGUAUAAUGGGUCAGCGACUUAUAUUCUGUAGCAAGGUUAACCGAAUAGGGGAGCCGAAGGGAAACCGAGUCUUAACUGGGCGUUAAGUUGCAGGGUAUAGACCCGAAACCCGGUGAUCUAGCCAUGGGCAGGUUGAAGGUUGGGUAACACUAACUGGAGGACCGAACCGACUAAUGUUGAAAAAUUAGCGGAUGACUUGUGGCUGGGGGUGAAAGGCCAAUCAAACCGGGAGAUAGCUGGUUCUCCCCGAAAGCU
RNAcentral lists this ribosomal RNA (315 nucleotides) under Escherichia coli. Its description in RNAcentral is "partial 23S ribosomal RNA". It matches the Rfam family "Bacterial large subunit ribosomal RNA", at positions 550 to 867 of the family's 2925-position model. Lineage: Bacteria; Pseudomonadati; Pseudomonadota; Gammaproteobacteria; Enterobacterales; Enterobacteriaceae. The record is from RNAcentral.